CCAAUUUUAUAUACUAGUGUGUAUAUCUGUGACUCUGUUGCAGGUACUACACUACUACUAUUAUGUAAACGUUGAACUAGAUCAAUUGGUGUGGAUUGCUUGGGAAUGGACGAAGCGACAAGCCUCUUCCGGACAGGCAAACCCCACACUGAUAACCUUUUCAAUAUAAUUUACUAGUACAUACUACAAACAAACAAACAAACAAAAGCUAUAAUAGGACUUAUAAACAGGCUGAGUGGGUAAAAUCCUCGGCUUAACCAAUAUAACUAUUA
This 272-nucleotide unclassified non-coding RNA is filed under the name soil metagenome. RNAcentral's name for it is "partial internal transcribed spacer 1". The record is from RNAcentral.